This 502-nucleotide ribosomal RNA is filed under the name uncultured soil bacterium. Its description in RNAcentral is "bacterial SSU rRNA". It matches the Rfam family "Bacterial small subunit ribosomal RNA", at positions 26 to 509 of the family's 1533-position model. The record is from RNAcentral.
AGAUUGAACGCUGGCGGCAUGCCUUACACAUGCAAGUCGAACGGCAGCACGGGAGCAAUCCUGGUGGCGAGUGGCGAACGGGUGAGUAAUACAUCGGAACGUGCCCAAUCGUGGGGGAUAACGCAGCGAAAGCUGUGCUAAUACCGCAUAAGAUCUACGGAUGAAAGCAGGGGAUCGCAAGACCUUGCGCGAAUGGAGCGGCCGAUGGCAGAUUAGGUAGUUGGUGAGGUAAAGGCUCACCAAGCCUUCGAUCUGUAGCUGGUCUGAGAGGACGACCAGGCCACACUGGGACUGAGACACGGCCCAGACUCCUACGGGAGCAGCAGUGGGGAAUUUGGACAAUGGGCGAAAGCCUGAUCCAGCCAUGCCGCGUGCAGGAUGGAAGGCCGUUACGGUUAGUAAACUGUCUUUUAGGUACGGUAACGAAAGUCUACGUUUACUAAGUAAAGAGGUAUACGAUAGACGGUAACCGUAAGAAUAAGACACCGGCUAACUACGUACG